Long non-coding RNA from Drosophila biarmipes, 781 nucleotides. RefSeq lists it as uncharacterized. The transcript has 3 exons. Lineage: Eukaryota; Metazoa; Arthropoda; Insecta; Diptera; Drosophilidae. The record is from RefSeq and is a predicted model, not a curated record.
ACGCUGCAGUGCUCCGAUUUGAAUAAUUUAACAUGAAUUAUGAAAUUGAAGGUAUUUACUUAAAAUUAAGAUAUUAAUAAUAAACUUUCCUGAAAAUGUUUUUUCGAAAAACUAAUUUUAUCGAAUAACCCUUUUUUGUGUAUUUUUUGAAAGUAUAGUUUAUGUUUAGUUAACCUGUUAGUUAUGUUCCAAGAAAACCCAGAGCUUGGUAUGUAUGUUUUUAUGAUCGUCUUCUUUUAGGUUGCUAAAUAUUUUAAAAUUAGCUGCAGAAACUUGCAGAUGUGUGUUUACUACUUAGAUUACUAAAGCAGUUAAAGGUGAGUCUUUGCUUAUUGUGCUGUUCCGCUUUUGCGCUGUUGCUUUGUCUUCGUCUUUAGUGCUUUGUGUUUUUGCAAAAAUGUCAAUUUGUAAAUUAUUAUUUAAACUUUGAUUUUGGAUUUUGAUAGGUGUAUCGCAAAAAUGUGUUUGUGUAAUGGAACCAACGCCGAAAAAAUUAAGAAAUUGAUUUCCGAUGUGCAAGCGGAUAUUGAAAACAACGGCUACAUUAUUCCAGAGUUGAGCGAAGUAUCCAAUAAAAUUGAGAACCUCUGCAAAACAAUUGUAACUUUUGGAAAACGGAAAAAAUCUGCAGUUACUAAAUAUCAAUCUGGAUGGCUUAGUAAAAAGGAAUCAAUUUCCAUAAAACGCCCCUAUUGCAAAUCAAAUCAAAUAGAGAAAAGUGCUUAUCGGGGCCGUCCUAAACUUGAUUUUGAGGAGGCUUUAGAGAGAACAAAGCGACGAC